Amaranthus tricolor (Joseph's coat) is the source of this 84-nucleotide small nucleolar RNA. RefSeq annotates it as small nucleolar RNA U30. The transcript has a single exon. The record is from RefSeq and is a predicted model, not a curated record. Lineage: Eukaryota; Viridiplantae; Streptophyta; Magnoliopsida; Caryophyllales; Amaranthaceae.
UGCUAUGAUGAUUUAAAAAAAUCUCGUUAAUCUGAAAGAUUAAUCUGAGGACAAUAUUUUUCAAAUCCAUUAUUAAAUCUGAGC